CUGAGCUCUGCCUGGGAAAUCUAGCAAUUUAGCAAGACCCCGCCUCGAAAUUCAGAGUAAGAGGGCUGAGGACGGGACUCGUGGCUUCAAGCCCCAGCGCCACAAAACCAAAACAAAAACUUCCCUCUGGGCUUUGCGCUCGCUUUCUUUUUUCCAGGCUGGUGACAAGAGCCGGUCCGUCCGUGCAGUCAAGCGCGCGACCGCUGCGCUCACCGGUCACCGCCAGCGCUCUCGCUCUCUUCCCGGGGCUCGCUCAGCCGUCCUUGGAAGUGCGGCCUCUUCCAAGGAGCCUUUGUCUGCCGUCCCAAGCCCUUCUAACGGUCCCUCUGUCCUUUGUUUCUUCCUAGCACUCCUGGCCAGGGAAACACUGUCCUUCACGGUGCUGUCUCCCGCUGCAGAGGGAGGGACGUCUCCACGGAGCCCAGGGCUUUGUCCUGUUCCGCGGCACCCUGGGAUUAGUACCUGGUAUGCAGUAGGUUCUCAUCCCAGCGCGCCGCCAGGCCCUGCACCGGGUUGCUCUUCAUGUCCAGCACGCGCUGCAGCUGCCGCGCCUUCCACUCGUCCGUCAGGGUGACGGGCUUCUCCGGGAACACUGCGGGGAGGCCGCGUGAGCACAGCCCCCGGCCGGCCCCGCCUCAGCCCCGCGCCCGCCCAGCGGCGGAGCGGGAAGCAGCCUCGAAGACCACCCGGACCUAAGUCCCGGCUCCACCGUGCCCUUGCAGUGUGGCCUUGAGCCGGUCACUUCACCUCUCUGAGCCUCGGACCCCUUACCAGUGGGCACAAUGUUGGACCGAUACAAAGCACCCACUGAACGUUACCACUGAACUAUAGUUACGGAGUUUGCUUCUUCUCACCGGGAAGGGGUCUGGGUGAGACAGUUCCUUUUGUUUUCGGGGGUGGGGGUGGGGAGUGGGGAAUGGAAGGCAGGUACAGGGUGGCUUAUUUUCUAUCUAAAUGAGGUCUCUAUAUACCGAAGUUCAGCCUGACUUUGAACUCAGUAUGUAGCUCAGGCUGCCUCCAACUCAGUGAUCUUCCUGCCUCAGCCUCCCUGUGCUGGGAUUACAAGUGUGCACCACCACACCUAGCUCCAGGGUGGUUAGUUUAAAAAUCUAGGAAGGUGUGGUGACACUCUCCUGUAGUCCCAGCCUAUGCAAGAGGCUGAGGCAGGAGGAUCACGAGUUUGAGUCCAGUUAAGACAACUCAGUGAUUUAAUAAGACCUUAUCUCAUUUUUUGUAAUUUUACAAUUUUUGUAAAGUGUAUUGUGAGACCCAUGGGUUCUAACCCAGUACAAUCAAUCAGUCAUCUGGGGAGGGCAAGGCUUAAUCGAAAGGCUGAAGCACUGGGUUUGAGAAGCCCUGCUGUGUGUGUCAGGAAGGCUGAAGGCUGGAGCUCCCAGCACUUAUUCCCAGCCACUGCCCCUGGGCUGACCUAGCCAUCCAGAUCUCUGUCCCUGGUGCUUCCAUCCCGAGAUGGCAGAAAGGGAGUGACUUUAAUGAGCACCUACUAGGUGCCAGACACUGGGCUAGAUGAAGCCAUUCCUGGAAGCUCUUAUUUCAUCCUCAGGCAACUCGGGGAUUCCGGUCACACUUUAUACAGGAAAGAAGAUGAGACUCUAGGGACACUCAACUGAGACUGACUGCCAGCUCUUCCUCAAUAUCCUCUGCCUUUUUUUUUUUUUUUUGUA
Chinchilla lanigera (long-tailed chinchilla) is the source of this 1685-nucleotide long non-coding RNA. RefSeq lists it as uncharacterized. NCBI's taxonomy places the organism in Eukaryota, Metazoa, Chordata, Mammalia, Rodentia, Chinchillidae. The record is from RefSeq and is a predicted model, not a curated record. The transcript has 2 exons.